This 446-nucleotide ribosomal RNA is filed under the name uncultured bacterium. RNAcentral describes it as "bacterial SSU rRNA". It matches the Rfam family "Bacterial small subunit ribosomal RNA", at positions 331 to 794 of the family's 1533-position model. The record is from RNAcentral.
CCAGACUCCUACGGGAGGCAGCAGUGGGGAAUAUUGCACAAUGGGGGAAACCCUGAUGCAGCGACGCCGCGUGAGUGAAGAAGUAUUUCGGUAUGUAAAGCUCUAUCAGCAGGAACGAGACAAGACGGUACCUGACUAAGAAGCCCCGGCUAACUACGUGCCAGCAGCCGCGGUAAUACGUAGGAUGCGAGCGUUAUCCGGAUUUAUUGGGUUUAAAGGGUGCGUAGGCGGGCUGUUAAGUCAGCGGUAAAGGCCGGGGGCCCAACCCGGGCGAGCCGUUGAAACUGGCAGUCUCGAGUUGGAGAGAAGUAUGCGGAAUGCGCGGUGUAGCGGUGAAAUGCAUAGAUAUCGCGCAGAACUCCGAGUGCGAAGGCAGCAUGCCGGCUCCACACUGACGCUGAGGCACGAAAGCGUGGGUAUCGAGCAGGAUUAGAUACCCGAGUACA